Long non-coding RNA from Saccostrea cuccullata (small rock oyster), 558 nucleotides. RefSeq lists it as uncharacterized. The record is from RefSeq and is a predicted model, not a curated record. Lineage: Eukaryota; Metazoa; Mollusca; Bivalvia; Ostreida; Ostreidae. The transcript has 3 exons.
UUGAAAUAGCAGCCUCUUUAGUGGCAGAUGAAUGUAGAAGACUCUGCAAAAGGUUCUCGGGCAGCAUUCUGCAAGACCGCAGCUUUGAAGGAAUAUUUCAGUUUUCUUGGGAGAAACUUGAAAUGAACUGCAACUACGGGCUCCAAAAUUCCUUUACAUUGUUUCACAUGCUGUCACAGACAAGCCACCUACUCAGACAUACAGAAGCCGUACUCAGAUGCUAUAUACAAUUGCAAGUGCACUGCAUGCCCGGAGUAGAGAAAUGACGGUUCUUCAGUACUUGACAGGUUUCAUUUUAAUGAAUGGGGGAUGUACUCCAAGGCUUUUACAGAUCUGUACAACUCAAAGGAAUAGUUUACUGUUUUUUGUAAGGAAAGUUUAAUAUCAAGUUCCUUUAUGGAUAAUCAUCUUGGAUGUACCAGCUAACUUUCGCAGAUGAACAUUGACAGACUAGCAAAAAUUGGAGUCACUGUGUUAUCAGAUACUCUGCAUAAGAAACUUUCAAACUGGCAGGAAUAUCUUGAUAAUGAACUUUUACAAAUAAAAGAGAACUGGAGU